This 219-nucleotide long non-coding RNA is filed under the name Cervus elaphus hippelaphus. It matches the Rfam family "7SK RNA", at positions 8 to 228 of the family's 331-position model. From Rfam's summary of the family: 7SK was discovered as an abundant small nuclear RNA in the mid-70s but a possible function has only recently been suggested. Two independent studies have found that 7SK RNA binds the CDK9/cyclin T complex (known as elongation factor P-TEFb). P-TEFb activates transcription by phosphorylating the C-terminal domain of RNA polymerase II. The record is from RNAcentral. Lineage: Eukaryota; Metazoa; Chordata; Mammalia; Artiodactyla; Cervidae.
AGGCAGUCUGGCUGCAACAUCUGUCACUCCUUUAAUUGCCAAGGUUGUUUCAGCUGAUCUGACUAGCUAGGCAAGUGUCCACUUCCCACCUCACCUCUCCAUGUGUGCCCCUCCCAAAGCUGCACACUCAGUCAAGGAGGACAACCUUCCCUAGUAAGGAGGACCGUUCUUUGGUCAGGGGUAUGUGAGUAGUUACAGUCCCCUGCUAGGACCUCCAAA